GAAUCUGAAGUGAUAAAUGAACUCAAGUGACGUGUGUUAUGAAAUGAGUUAUUGAAAUCUCUAUGAAUGAAUUGAGAUUAUGAUGGAUUGAAUAUGUUCACACUGGUUUGAACAAGAUGACGUAAAUCGAAUAAGAUGAUGUAAAUGUAUAUGUGAAUUAUGUGAUGACGUGAAUUAAAAGAUGUUAAUCACGUAAAGUGAAAUAUCGGAGGGAAAUGAUGAACAGGUUGCCCUGUAUGAGUGGUUCAGCGGCCCCUACAGGUUCUCUGGUUACUAUGCUGAUUAUUCUGUUACUGUCUUCCUUCUAUCUUGUUGUGAUCCAAGUAGAAGGGGUGUGCACACUAGGGACUCUGUUAUGGCCAUUAUGAUUUUUCGUAGGUGGUUACAGGGUUUCGUCCCGGCCUACAAGUAGGUGGUUACAGGGUUUCGUCCUGGCCUACUAUGUUGAAGUGGGUGAUCGAUCGGGGGAACCAAAGGGAAAUCAUUUAGAGUUGUCAUCCACUUAGCAUAUGAUUAGCUUCCGGUGGAACUCUGAAACACUUUUAAUUAAUUAGUAGUGUUUAAUGAACAAUUUGCUUAGUUGUAAUGAUUAAUGAAUUUGAGAUGGUGUGUUGUAACUUAGCCUUGCAUUUGUUUCCAAGGAGAUAAUUGCGGCGGUAGCACCACCCCGUCGGGUCGAACCCUCGUGGAUUCGUUUUUCCCCCAAAACCCCGAGUUUUUCCGAAAUGAAAAAGGGUUCGGGUCGGCGGGGGUGCUACACUUGUAGCCAGUAAUUCUUGGAAGCUCUGGCAGAUAGACGUUAAAAUUGCA
This is a long non-coding RNA of Beta vulgaris subsp. vulgaris (sugar beet), 810 nucleotides long. RefSeq lists it as uncharacterized. NCBI's taxonomy places the organism in Eukaryota, Viridiplantae, Streptophyta, Magnoliopsida, Caryophyllales, Amaranthaceae. The transcript has 2 exons. The record is from RefSeq and is a predicted model, not a curated record.